UGGGGAAUUUUGGACAAUGGGCGAAAGCCUGAUCCAGCAAUGCCGCGUGUGUGAAGAAGGCCUUCGGGUUGUAAAGCACUUUUGUCCGGAAAGAAAUCCUUGGCUCUAAUACAGUCGGGGGAUGACGGUACCGGAAGAAUAAGCACCGGCUAACUACGUGCCAGCAGCCGCGGUAAUACGUAGGGUACAAGCGUUAAUCGGAAUUACUGGGCGUAAAGCGUGCGCAGGCGGUUUGCUAAGACCGAUGUGAAAUCCCCGGGCUCAACCUGGGAACUGCAUUGGUGACUGGCAGGCUAGAGUAUGGCAGAGGGGGGUAGAAUUCCACGUGUAGCAGUGAAAUGCGUAGAGAUGUGGAGGAAUACCGAUGGCGAAGGCAGCCCCCUGGGCCAAUACUGACGCUCAUGCACGAAAGCGUGGGGAGCAAACAGGAUUAGAUACCCUGGUAGUCCACGCCCUAAACGAUGUCAACUAGUUGUUGGGAUUCAUUCCUUAGUAACGUAGCUAACGCGUGAAGUUGACCGCCUGGGGAGUACGGUCGCAAGAUUAAAACUCAAAGGAAUUGACGGGGUCAUAGCUGUUUCCU
RNAcentral lists this ribosomal RNA (583 nucleotides) under uncultured bacterium. Its description in RNAcentral is "partial 16S ribosomal RNA". It matches the Rfam family "Bacterial small subunit ribosomal RNA", at positions 355 to 1375 of the family's 1533-position model. The record is from RNAcentral.